ACGCUCGACACCUACGGGAGGCAGCAGUGGGGAAUAUUGCACAAUGGGGGAAACCCUGAUGCAGCGACGCCGCGUGGAGGAAGAAGGUCUUCGGAUUGUAAACUCCUGUUGUUGGGGAAAAAGAGGAUGGUACCCAACAAGGAAGUGACGGCUAACUACGUGCCGGCAGCCGCGGUAAUCUGAGCGGGCUGGCAAGGC
RNAcentral lists this ribosomal RNA (198 nucleotides) under uncultured bacterium. Its description in RNAcentral is "partial 16S ribosomal RNA". It matches the Rfam family "Bacterial small subunit ribosomal RNA", at positions 328 to 539 of the family's 1533-position model. The record is from RNAcentral.